GGGGCAGUAGCUCAGUGGUUCAGAGUGGAAGAUUGCAACUCUACGCCUAGUCCUGGCUAGAAGCAACCAUCUUUAGGUCCCGUGUUCGACUCACGGCUGUCCCU
RNAcentral lists this transfer RNA (104 nucleotides) under Aspergillus leporis. It matches the Rfam family "tRNA". Rfam says of the family: Transfer RNA (tRNA) molecules are approximately 80 nucleotides in length. Lineage: Eukaryota; Fungi; Ascomycota; Eurotiomycetes; Eurotiales; Aspergillaceae. The record is from Rfam by way of RNAcentral.